This is a long non-coding RNA of Arabidopsis thaliana (thale cress), 381 nucleotides long. RefSeq annotates it as other RNA. The record is from RefSeq. The transcript has a single exon. NCBI's taxonomy places the organism in Eukaryota, Viridiplantae, Streptophyta, Magnoliopsida, Brassicales, Brassicaceae.
CGAUGCUUUUUGCUCUCCUGUCCUGCACCAAAGCAGUCCACAUUAUAUUAUUCCUUGUGGUCUCCAUAAGCAUUUCCAGAGAAAAUAGUUCUGAUUCGUGGCCAUAAAAGUGUAAUAGCAAUUUCACAAGAUUCUGUUGCUUUCUAUGUUUCACCCAUGAGCUUGGAGGAGUUAUUACAACCUAACUGCCCCUAAGAGUUUGGCAACUGUUGCAGUCCAUGUUCUAACUACAGAUGUAUAUGUUCACAUGCCAGAUAUCACUUUAUUUAAUCUCUAUAACUUUCAACCUAUUAAUUAGUUUCUUGUCCAAAUCCAGAGAGGGAAGGUGAGAUCAUUAGGAGCUCGUACGAAAACUCACCUUUGACAUAUAUGUUCAAGCAG